UGGGUCGUCCGGAUGCUCGUUCUGAUGAUUUAGAUCAGUGUCUCGGUGUUACACACGCCACACGCUUUUUGUCUUGUUUUGUUUUAAUAGAUACAGCGCUAACGUAUAAACCUGAUUUGGGGGCGGGGCUACGUACAAGCCCGUUCGGACCGGUCAUAUCCGAGAUCGCACCCUAGACACAGAACUUGCGUUCUAGGCUAGCGCUGACCCAGAGAAUGUUUUGGUUGCCAUGGUAACGUUGUUGUUCUGUUACCGGGUGGCUGCAUGUUUGUUUGUUUGUUUGUUUGUUGGGGGUUUUGUUUUUUUUCUUCAAUUUUGGGUGAAAGUACCUGCAUGUGUUCUGAUCUCUGACCUGCCAAACAUUCACCCAAGUUUUCAGCUGCUAUUUUUACACCCGCUAUCAGUCGCUUCUGUUUCCUGGUAGUCGCUGAUGUGUUGCUCCUCGUCUGCAGCUCGUGGAUCAGAGGUUAUUGAAUUAUAACCUCUGGUGCUGGUGAGGAGCGCAGACACAGUCGGCUCGCUGAAGGUGAAGCCACGUUGCCAUGGCACAGAUUCCAUCACUCGUCUUAAUGACAUUUUUCACCCUCGUCCUGGCAGAGGAUCAGCAGCAAAAGGAUGACCCGUUCACUUUUGAUUAUCACCAGCUGCGUGUCGGAGGGCUGAUCAUGGCCGCAGUGUUGUGUCUGAUCGGCAUCACGAUCCUCCUCAGUGGACACUGCAGAUGCAAAUUUAACCAGGACAAGAGGAGGAGGACAGGAAGUAACGCAGCGAACCAACAGAUGCUCAAUGACACAGUAACCGGAUGCAGUGUGACAUGAGCGAGUGCGCUGUAGCGGUUGGAGGCGUGUCCUGUGUAUGAGUUCCAUCUGUUGAGUGUUGUUUUGCUUGUUGCUCCUGUGAUGCGCCGGUAAACACAAAGCCAGCUCGGCCGUAUGGCGCUGCUCUCUACGGAGCCUCGGCACAGUUUCCAUGAUGACUGGCUUCCUCUGUGUGUGUGCGUGUACCUGAGGGAGGAAACAGAGGCGCCGAUACACGCUGGAAAUUGCAACACAAAUUACAGUAAAAAUCAAACAUGACCUCUUCAAUCUGGCAACCCACUGCGGGUCACGUUAAAACCCCAAACCACCCCGGUGAUAAAAAAACAACCCAGAGGGUGUUUCAGGGCUGCGAUCCUCCAUUUCCUCCUGUAGCUAUGAGCUUGUCUGUAACUCCGCCUCCUGUGCUGUGAUUGGCUGAAAGGCUGCGAUAAACCACGCCCCUUUGUAUCAUUCUUUUUAAGUAGAGCUGCAACUGUACAUGUACAACAGGAACAGAUUGCUUUAUAGUACAGUGGAGAGGAAGAGUUUGUGCAGGCCCAGGCCCUGAAGCAGCAAAGCAUCCCCACAGCAUCACACUUCCACCACCAUGCUAGGCCGUAGCUAUGAUCUUCUUUUUGUGGAAUUCGUUGCUUGGUUUACGCCAAAUGUAACCUUAACCCCGUCUUCCAAACAGUUCCACUUUCACCUCAUCAAUCCACAGAACAUUCUCCUGAAAGGUUUGAGGAUCAUCAGGGUGUGUUUUGGAAAAAUUCAGACGAGCCUGAAUGUUCUUCUGGGUCAGCAGUGGUUUUCGUCUCGCCACUCUUCCAUGGAUGUCAUUUUUUCCCCAGUGUCUUUCUGAUAGUGGAGUCAUGAACAGUGACCUUUAUUGAAGCAAGAGAGGCCUGUAGGUCCUUCGCUGUUCUCCUUUGCACGUUUGUGACUUCCUGGAUGAGGCGUCGUUGUGCUCUUGGAGGAAUUUUGGAAGCUUCUGGGAAGGUUCACUACUGUGCUGAGUUUUUCCAUUUUUUAGAUAACGGCUCUCGCUGUGGUCCUCUGGAGUCCCAGAGCCUGUGAAACAUCUUUGUAACCCUUCCCAGACUGAUGUGUUUCAAUCACCUUCUUCCUCAUCAUUUAACCAACCUCACCAGACCCUUUACCCAGCUUCACGUUGAUGCGUUGAUGUGAUUGAACAGGGUCUGCAGUAAUCAAGCCUGGUCCAGCUGAACCCCAUUAUAAAUGCAUAGAUUUGGGGAAUUAGUAACUACGGGUGCAAAUACCUUUUCACGCAGACCCAGCGCGGGCCAGUGAUUGUUAGACGCCGCUGUUGGACGACUCAGUGACGAUCUGACUGACGGACACCGGUGAAGAUCCUGCAGUACCUAAUGUUCCACCACAAAAGUGCUGGAUUAAAACCGAAAACAAAUCAAUGGGCCAUUUAUAAUAUACAUGCUGUUCUUUUUUAAUUAUUAUUAACUGUUAUUAUUAUUAUUAUUAUUAUUAAUAAUUAUUAUUAUUAUUAUAUUCCACCUGUUUGCUGCUUACGUGGCUCCAUCGACCCUGUGCUUUCGUCAGAUGUUCAUUUCAACUAACUGCACCAAUAACCAAAAAAAUCUCUCGUUUGUGUGGAAAUCGUCAGAAGGAGUUUUUAUGUUUUUAACGUGUUUACUAAAAUGUCUUCUUUCUUUUUAUUUUAUUUUUUUUUUAAAAAUUUUAACGAUCGUGUUGAUCGGUUUUAGUCACAUGACAGCUUAUAACCAAAAAGUGCAAGAACUAUAUCCACACGUUCCUUCCUGUGAGUGCUGAUCAGACAUCUAAUCUACAUCGCUGUGUUCCCGCUUCGUAGUUCUGACAAUGCCUGACCAAUUUUACUUCUGAUUUAAUAGCUAGCUGUUUGUUUAUAGAUCAUCGGUUUCUGCCAGGUUGUUUGUCAUGCUUGGUCGUGUAACUGUAUCUUAUUUUUUAAAAGAAGAAAAUUGUCCACAUCGCUGACUAAAACACUAAAGUGA
This is an RNA transcript of Ictalurus furcatus (blue catfish), 2806 nucleotides long. It is a transcript of the gene named FXYD domain-containing ion transport regulator 3, with no coding region annotated. NCBI's taxonomy places the organism in Eukaryota, Metazoa, Chordata, Actinopteri, Siluriformes, Ictaluridae. The record is from RefSeq and is a predicted model, not a curated record. The transcript has 9 exons.